Papaver somniferum (opium poppy) is the source of this 982-nucleotide long non-coding RNA. RefSeq lists it as uncharacterized. The transcript has 4 exons. The record is from RefSeq and is a predicted model, not a curated record. NCBI's taxonomy places the organism in Eukaryota, Viridiplantae, Streptophyta, Magnoliopsida, Ranunculales, Papaveraceae.
GUGUUUUGACCAGCCACACAAACUUGCAGCAACUGAAGCGAAAUUCUGGCAACACGUGUUUCAUGCGCGAACUGACUCUAGAAAACAUAAGGUAGUCCGGGUUAAAACACCAACGACAUGUUUUUUGGUGAAUUGUCCUUCAACGUUAUUUUGGUGAAGAUCUCUGACCCUAACCUAAUACAUGUUUGAUCCGAAUACAAUGGCAUGAAACUUAAGGUCACACUAUGGGGUGACUCAACUUUUGAAUUAACAAGAAACCUUGAAGCCAAUGGAGUGAAUCCACAACCCAUUGUGGUUGUUGUAGCUGGUGCCUAUGUCAAGCAAUAUCUAGGCAAGGCUUCGCUUUCCUCAACCAAUGCGACCAAAAUUUACUUCGACGUAGACCUACCAGAGGUGUUGCAUAUCAAAGAAAGGUCUUCUCACCGAACCCCACCACGUGAGAUCACACUCCCUUCUAGAGUUGGGUAUUAUCCGGCUAACAAAUCCAUUGCUGACAAUAAAGUCACUUUCUGAAUUGUUUAAAACAAAGUGGGAAACUGGGUACAAUGUACUCAACCUAUUUGGAGGAUCGGCAACAUGACAAUGACAGAUGAGUCAGCUGGAAUGAAAGGUUUAACAGAUGUGAUGGAGAAAUGUGCAAUCAAAAAGGAGUACAGGGAGACUUCGAUGGGGGUAUCGAUUAGUUGAGUUCAAUGAGAAGGGAGCUGCCGACAAAGAAAACAAUACUAGGAAUCGUCAUUCAUGUUUCUUUGAGUCUCCGCAUUUUGUUUUACUAUGUUUCCCUUUCUGCAUUUUAUUUCAGUAUGCUCUGUUACUGCAUUUUGUUGAGGUGUAGCUCCUUUUUCUGCAUGUUAAUCUUAGUACCUUCUAUUUGAGAGACGAAGUUAAAUUUUAGGAGAUUCACGGUGUAACCGUGCUGAUAUGAUAAGAUUUAUUCUGUUCUCAAAUUUUCUUUGAAGAUAUAUAGGAUUAAACAACUAAU